This 354-nucleotide ribosomal RNA is filed under the name uncultured bacterium. Its description in RNAcentral is "bacterial SSU rRNA". It matches the Rfam family "Bacterial small subunit ribosomal RNA", at positions 8 to 350 of the family's 1533-position model. The record is from RNAcentral.
AGAGUUUGAUCCUGGCUCAGGAUGAACGCUAGCUACAGGCUUAACACAUGCAAGUCGAGGGGAAACGACAUCGAAAGCUUGCUUUUGAUGGGCGUCGACCGGCGCACGGGUGAGUAACGCGUAUCCAACCUGCCCACCACUUGGGGAUAACCUUGCGAAAGUAAGACUAAUACCCAAUGAUAUCUCUAGAAGACAUCUGAAAGAGAUUAAAGAUUUAUCGGUGAUGGAUGGGGAUGCGUCUGAUUAGCUUGUUUGGCGGGGGUAACGGCCACCAAGGCGGACGAUCAUAGGGGUUCUGAGAGGAAGGUCCCCCACAUUGGAACUGAGACACGGUCCAAACUCCUACGGGAGGCA